This is a long non-coding RNA of Tachysurus fulvidraco (yellow catfish), 891 nucleotides long. RefSeq lists it as uncharacterized. The record is from RefSeq and is a predicted model, not a curated record. NCBI's taxonomy places the organism in Eukaryota, Metazoa, Chordata, Actinopteri, Siluriformes, Bagridae. The transcript has 3 exons.
UAUAAAAAAAUCACCCAAACCUUUAAAAACUACAUUCAAACCAUGAGCAACACCUGUAUUAACAAUUGUCAGUAUAGGUUCCCAACACCUCUAAUAGGACCUUUAUACUCUUAUACCAUAAAUGACUAUGAUUUCUUGUAUGUGAUCGUGAAAACAAAUAGUCUUGCUGUGAUGCCUCUAAUAUUUUUAAACACAAACCUGUAAACCUGCAGGCUCAGCUAAUAAGAGAUAAUUUCGAAAGAGCUCUGAUGGAAACGGAAAUAAGCGAGAUUCCUCAACGGGGUGGCAAAUUGCAACAUGGAAGCUGGCAAUAUUCCAAGGGCCCUGAAUACACAAGUUGAGUGAAAGUUUUUAGAGAAUGAAAACUGUCUGGGCUGGGGAGCGUUACUUUGUCAGGAUUAAAGGAUAGCUACAGUAACUCAAUUGACUACUCUGCAAAAACAGGAAUCUGAGGCUAGCCAGUCGGUUGGAAAUCACAGGAGACUGCAUAACUGCAUGAAUAAGCAGGUUGGGGUCAGAAUGCAGGGGCAGCAAUGUUGCAGCGCACCUGGAGCAGGGAGAGUUAAGGGCCUUGCUCAAUUUUCCCAACAGUGGCAGCUUGGCAGUGCUGAGACUUGAACAUCGACCUUCCGAUCAACAUCCCAGAGCCUUGACCACUUAAGCCUCCACUCCCACGAGUGGUAUCAAUCAUCACAUGGUGAAGUAACAGAAGAAUCAUCCAUCCAUCCAUCCAUUUUCUUUAGCAAUUUUCCUAUAAAUUAUAAAUGUCUUGUUUAAUUGUUUAAUGUCUCUAUGGAUGUUGCACCGUUUGACCUGUGAGACACGACAUCUCGUUCCACUGCAUGUCUCAACAUGUAGCGAAAAUGAUAAUUAAAGAAACUUGAAAUUGAA